This is a long non-coding RNA of Astyanax mexicanus (Mexican tetra), 3675 nucleotides long. RefSeq lists it as uncharacterized. NCBI's taxonomy places the organism in Eukaryota, Metazoa, Chordata, Actinopteri, Characiformes, Acestrorhamphidae. The transcript has 4 exons. The record is from RefSeq and is a predicted model, not a curated record.
ACAACUCAAAUUAACUUAAAUUAACACAACUCAAAUUAGCCCAACCUAAAAUAACACAACUAAAAUUAAUUCAACUCAAAUUAACCCAGCUCAACUCAAAUUAGCACAAAUCAAAUUAACACAAAUCAACUCAAAAUAACCCAACUCUACUUAACUCAACUAAACUAAAAUUACUUCAACUGAAAUUAACACAACUCAAAUUAAUUAAACUCAAAUUAACCCAACUCAACUCAAAUGAACACAAUUCAACUUAAAUGGAUUUAACUUAAAUGAACACAAUUCAACUCAAAUCAACCCAACUUAAAUUACGGGUUGAGUGUAGAUGAAGUGUUCAAUAUAAACGCAGGGAUAAUCAGGGAUAGAUCUGGAGAUGGGGAGGAGGAUAAUGCUGUAGUAUCUGCAGUGUGUGGAUGAGCGUGGUCCUGCUCGACUGUGUGAUCAGUGCAGGAAGGUCCUCUGGGCUGCAGUAUGUGGGUAAGGUACCGCAGGGCUGCAGGAUGUGUGUAAGGUACCGCAGGGCUGCAGGAUGUGGGUAAGGUACCGCAGGGCUGCAGUAUGUGGGUAAGGUACCGCUGGGCCGCAGGAUGUGGGUAAGGUACCGCAGGGCUGCAGGAUGUGGGUAAGGUACCGCAGGGCUGCAGGAUGUGGGUAAGGUACCGCGAAGGCUGCAGGACGUGGGUAAGGUACCGUUGGGCUGAUGGAAGCGGGUUAAGGUACCGCAAGGCUGCAGGAUGUGGGUAAGGUACCGCAGGGCUGAUGGAUGUGGGUAAGGUACCGCAGGGCUGCAGGAUGUGGGUAAGGUACCGCAGGGCUGCAGGAUGUGGGUAAGGUACCGCUGGGCUGCAGGAUGUGGGUAAGGUACCGCAGGGCUGAUGGAUGUGGGUAAGGUACCGCAGGGCUGCAGGAUGUGGGUAAGGUACCGCGGGGCUGCAGGAUGUGGGUAAGGUACCGCAGGGCUGCAGGAUGUGGGUAAGGUACCGCAGGGCUGAUGGAUGUGGGUAAGGUACCGCAGGGCUGCAGGAUGUGGGUAAGGCACCGCAGGGCUGCAGGAUGAUGGUAAGGUACCGCAGGGCUGCAGGAUGUGGGUAAGGUACCGCGGGGCUGCAGGAUGUGGGUAAGGCACCGCAGGGCUGCAGGAUGAUGGUAAGGUACCGCUGGGCUGCAGGAUGUGGGUAAGGUACCGCUGGGCUGCAGGAUGUGGGUAAGGUACCGCAGGGCUGAUGGAUGCUGCAGGUCAGGAAAUGAGGAGGUUGCCGGGGUAACGGGCGAGCAGCAGUUGGAAGUGAGGAGAUGAUGGGCUGAGAAGAUCACAGUGAUUGGGAUGGAUCUGAUCAAAGUGCUUUUUUUUCCUGUUUUUUGAGCAGCAGAUGGUCUGAGUGACAGACGGAAUAGAGCUACUGUCUGUGGAGCAUCACCAGCUCCGCUCUAUUACUCUAUUACAGCUCAACACUAUUUAUAGGAUUAUUUUAUUUAAUAAAGGGAAAAAACUCAACUCAAAUGAACAUAUCACUACUCAAAUUAACUGAACUCAAAUGAACUGAACUUAAAUUAAUAUAGCACAACUCAAAUGAACGGAACUCAAAUUAAUAUAGGACAACUCAAAUGAACGGAACUCAAAUUAAUAUAGCACAACUCAAAUGAACGGAACUUAAAUUAAUAUGGCACAAAUCAACUCAACUCAAAUUAACAUAGCACAACUCAAAUUUACAUAGCACAACUCAAAUUAACUAACCUCAAAUGAAUAUAGCACAACUUAAAUUAACUGAACAUAAAUUAAUAUAGCACAACUCAACCCAACUCAACUCAAAUUAACUGGACUCAAACUAAUAGAGCACAACUCAAUUUAAGACUUGGCUGUUAACAUAGCACAACUCAAAUUAACUGAACUCAAACUAAUAGAGCACAACUCAAUUUAAGACUUGGCUGUUAACAUAGCACAACUCAAAUUAACUGAACUCAAACUAAUAGAGCACAACUCAAUUUAAGACUUGGCUGUUAACAUAGCACAGCUCAAAUUAGCUGAACUCAAACUAAUAUAGCAGAUGCAAAUGGUCUGGAGCUUCAGCAUUCAGAUUCAACACCUUUUAUAUGAUAAUUUUAUUUAUUAAAGGAAAAAAAACUCAACUCAACUCAAAUGACCAUAUCACAACUCAAAGUAACUGAACUCAAAUUAACAUAGCACAACUCAAAUUAACUGAGCUCAAAUUAAUAUAGCACAACUCAAAUGAACUGAACUCAAAUUAAUAUAGCACAACUCAAAUUACGUAAACCCAAAUUAAUACAACUCAGAUAAUUAAUUAAUUAACAUAACACAACUCAAAUGACCUCAGCUCAAAUUAUCCCAUCUCAAAUUAGGGAUGGACUGUUGAUUAAGCGUCCAAUAGAAACAGAUCACACAUAUUUUCUAUAAUGAGGGAUGGAUCUGAAGAUGCUCUGAAGCUUCAUUCAGUUUUAAUUUUAUUUUAUUUUUUUAAUUCAGACACAUUGGAGUUUUUCCAGCAGACAUAACUAGGUCACUCUAAAACCUUCAUUUAGUUUUGUUUUUUAGCCAUUCAGAGGUGACCUUGUUUGAGUGCUUUGGGUCAUUGUCCUGCUGCAGAACCCAGGUACUCCUGAGCUUAGUGUUACAAACAGAUGGCUGGAUUCUGAUUCUCCUUCAGGAUUUUCUGGUAAACAGCAGAAUUCCUGCUCCCAUCCAUUACAGCAAUUUAUCCAGCAGCUCCAGACCAUCACAAACACUACCACCAUGUUUUACAUGUUCAGUAUGAUGUUCUUUCCUGAAAUUAUGCAUUCCUAGAGCAUUGUAUAAAUGUAAGAUUAUUUGCUUAUUCCACAAAUAUGAUCUUAAAGAAUAUUAUUUUAAGUGACCAAACAAGCACAAAAGGUAACACACUGCAAAAAUUCCAUUGUCAAAAACUAGACAAAAUACAGCUCUGGGAAGAAAUUAAAAAAAACACUUAAAAAUGAUGAGUUUCUUUGAUUUUACCAAACUGAAAACCUCUGGAAUAUAAUCAAGAGGAAGAUGGAUGAUCACAAACCAUCAAACCACCAAACUGAACUGCUUGAAUUUUUGCACCAGGAGUAAAGCAGCAUAAAGUUAUCCAAAAGCAGUGUGUAAGACUGGUGGAGAAGGACAUGAUGCCAAGAUGCAUGAAACAAAAACUGAUUAAAAAUCACCAGCGUUAUUCCACCAAAUACUGAUUUCUGAAUUUUACGAAUAUGAACUUUGCAUUGUUUGAGCUCUCAAUUAAACAACAAUGUUCAUUUUACUCAAACAUAUACCUAUAAAUAGCAAAAUCAGAGAAACUGACUUUUAUUUUUUCCAGAGCUGUAUGUCUAGUUUUUUAUUUUUUUAUUUUAAUGUAAAAAAGUUUAUUUCAGGUCAUUUUGGAGACUUGCCAUUGGUCCAUUCAUUAAGAAAUUUUGACCUUGUAGUUUGAAAGUGUAUGGGACAGUUUGUGUGUUCAAAUUGUGUAGUAAACUUUUAAAAUAGGCAAAAAUGAAGAUACUUGUUUUUUAUAUGUAAAAAAAAUUGUUGAUUUACUAUAAUUUGACAAACUCAAACUCAAAUUAAUAUAGCACAACUCAAAUUAACUAACCUCAAAUUAAUAUAGCACAACUCAAACUAAUAAAGCACAACCCAAAUGAUCUGAACUCAAAUUAACACAACUCAAA